GAACGCCGUGUGCGGUGAAAGUCGCACGCACGGUGUGAAGCGGGGGAAAAGAUGGAGAUAGUAUCAAAGUUUUACCUAUCGCUAU
RNAcentral lists this non-coding RNA (85 nucleotides) under Streptococcus pneumoniae. Lineage: Bacteria; Bacillati; Bacillota; Bacilli; Lactobacillales; Streptococcaceae. The record is from RNAcentral. RNAcentral also lists the same sequence under 1 other name.